This 497-nucleotide ribosomal RNA is filed under the name uncultured bacterium. RNAcentral's name for it is "partial 16S ribosomal RNA". It matches the Rfam family "Bacterial small subunit ribosomal RNA", at positions 28 to 507 of the family's 1533-position model. The record is from RNAcentral.
GAUGAACGCUGGCGGCGUGCCUAAUACAUGCAAGUCGAGCGAACGGACGAGAAGCUUGCUUUUCUGAUGUUAGCGGCGGACGGGUGAGUAGCACGUGGAUAACCUACCUAUAAGACUGGGAUAACUUCGGGAAACCGGAGCUAAUACCGGAUAAUAUUUUGAACCGCAUGGUUCAAAAGUGAAAGACGGUCUUGCUGUCACUUAUAAAUGGAUCCGCGCUGCAUUAGCUAGUUGGUAAGGUAACGGCUUACCAAGGCAACGAUGCAUAGCCGACCUGAGAGGGUGAUCGGCCACACUGGAACUGAGACACGGUCCGGACUCCUACGGGAGGCAGCAGUAGGGAAUCUUCCGCAAUGGGCGAAAGCCUGACGGAGCAACGCCGCGUGAGUGAUGAAGGUCUUCGGAUCGUAAAACUCUGUUAUUAGGGAAGAACAUAUGUGUAAGUAACUGUGCACAUCUUGACGGUACCUAAUCAGAAAGCCACGGCUAACUACGUG